GUCCCAUUAGCUCAGCUGGAUAGAGCCACUCACUUCUAAUGAGUAGGUCAGAGGUUCAAAUCCUCUAUGGGACGCCA
Molecule: transfer RNA, 77 nt
Filed under: Lachnospiraceae bacterium
Lineage: Bacteria; Bacillati; Bacillota; Clostridia; Lachnospirales; Lachnospiraceae
Description: tRNA-Arg
Rfam family: tRNA
About the family: Transfer RNA (tRNA) molecules are approximately 80 nucleotides in length. Their secondary structure includes four short double-helical elements and three loops (D, anti-codon, and T loops). Further hydrogen bonds mediate the characteristic L-shaped molecular structure. tRNAs have two regions of fundamental functional importance: the anti-codon, which is responsible for specific mRNA codon recognition, and the 3' end, to which the tRNAs corresponding amino acid is attached (by aminoacyl-tRNA synthetases). tRNAs cope with the degeneracy of the genetic code in two manners: having more than one tRNA (with a specific anti-codon) for a particular amino acid; and 'wobble' base-pairing, i.e. permitting non-standard base-pairing at the 3rd anti-codon position.
Source: RNAcentral